RNAcentral lists this ribosomal RNA (433 nucleotides) under uncultured bacterium. RNAcentral describes it as "partial 16S ribosomal RNA". It matches the Rfam family "Bacterial small subunit ribosomal RNA", at positions 29 to 507 of the family's 1533-position model. The record is from RNAcentral.
AACGAACGCUGGCGGCAGGCCUAACACAUGCAAGUCGAGCGAGGACUUCGGUCCUAGCGGCGGACGGGUGAGUAACGCGUGGGAACGUGCCCUUUGCUUCGGAAUAGCCCUGGGAAACUGGGAGUAAUACCGGAUGAGCCCUUUGGGGGAAAGAUUUAUCGGCGAAGGAUCGGCCCGCGUUGGAUUCGGUAGUUGGUGGGGUAAUGGCCUACCAAGCCGACGAUCCAUAGCUGGUUUGAGAGGAUGAUCAGCCACACUGGGACUGAGACACGGCCCAGACUCCUACGGGAGGGAGCAGUGGGGAAUCUUAGACAAGGGGGGAAAACCUGAUCUAGCCAUGCCGCGUGAGCGAUGAAGGCCUUAGGGUUGUAAAGCUCUUUCAGCUGGGAAGAUAAUGACGGUACCAGCAGAAGAAGCCCCGGCUAACUACGUG